CCCAGCUCACUCUCAUCUUUCCCUCUUGCAGGUCUCUCUCUCUCUUCACUCAUUCUCCCUCAAUUCCUCACCUCUCUCGUUCCUCUUCUCCCUCUGCAAUUACAAACCAGGAUUAUAGCACCAUGGAAACUCAUGCAAAAGCUUGGAGAAAUCUGGCAAGCUUCUUGACCUCCCGACGUGUGGGGUUUGUGAACAACGUGAUUGCGAUGGAACGAAGAAGAAAACCGAAAUCUAGAUUCCCGACGAGAACCGUGGGUUUCAAAAGACUUUUCUAGCCACCUCUGGCCACUACUUGGAAAACCAAAGGUGAUGUAGGGCGUACGGACGAAUGAUACUCAUAUAUAACUUUGGCGGGGCGUAGGUUGGUGGCUUCGGCCGAAAGAUAUUUAUAUUUGGCUUCAACCGAGCAUGUGUAGGUGGCUUUGGCUGGAAGAUAUUUAUAUAUGGCUUCGACCAGGCGUGUGUAGGUGGCUUCGAUUGGAAGAGUUUUAUAUGCCUUCGGGUGAGUAAGGAAUUCUAUAUGCCUUCGGGCAUGAGAUGAUACCACUACUAAGCACACUAUAUGAUAUAUGUUUUAUGAAGGUUUUAUGGCACGCUAGGGUUUUCAAAAAACCUAUUACAUAUUAUACUAUUGAGUUUUCAUAAACGUUGGGGGUUAGUACGUUGAUGAAUAAUUGUUUUCAUAUUACUUAUAUAUCAACUUGGUCCAAUCAUGUUUUGUUUUGUGCCCCCUUAGGACUUAGAAUCAAGGUGUACAAUCUCGGCAUCAAGACACUCCCGCAUCGGCAUCUUCGAGUCUUCUCCGUGCAGGACCCAUCUCCUUGUUCAUUCAAUUUUAUGUUAUUCCUUUUUAGUGUCUUGGAUUAGUUAUAUGCUUUGAACACGUUCCACAAUUGCAUAUUUAUUAUAGUUAAAUUUACAAGUUUUAUUUAUGUUAGCUAUUUCUUUCUAGUUCUCAUGCAUUCUAAUAUGGUUUCAUUAUUUUCGAGUGUCGGGCAGCACAUGCCUACCUUGGUAUUUAGAGGAUAUCAAGGUCGGGCAUGUCAUGCAAUUGUCACAAUCUCUUUCUUUCUUUUCUCCUUUUUCCUUUGAUCGUACCUUUUUAAGACCAAUCCCCUAUUUCCUCUAUCCUUUUUGACCUAUUCCCCCUCUUUGACCCACCCCCUCCAUCAUCUGGAUCAUUUGGUCCCACCAUCCAUCCUCCAUCUUUGACCCAUCCCUUUAUCUUCAUUUUCGGUUGGUUAUCAUCUCCUUUUUCCAUAAUUUGUCUUGGAUCUUUGGGAUGGUGUGUAGCGCUUUAGCUCAGAUGUUCACACCACCACCCUUGUUAACCAUUAUUGGUCCUUCUUGUAGUUUUCCCUUGCCAGUGUUGGUGCUCAUGGGUUCUUUCUGCGUGCUUCCUUGUUCUCUUAACAGUGAUUUUUGCUGGUAUUUUGAGGACGUUAUGGCUUUUUUCUUAACCAUUUCUGGGGUUCUUGAUGGUGUCAUCUUAAGUGAUCAUAAUAGGCUUCACGUGAGGAUGUUUGGGUGGCUCUCCGAUGUUAGCGUCGGCGUCUGCAACUUCAGGAAGACUAGCUUUUUAGGGUUUUUUGGUGUGGUUUGUUUGUGUAUACUGAGCUCCAAGGUUAGGCUUUGGACUUUGUCUUCUGUGUGUUUGUGGUCCCUUUUUGUUUAUGCAUAACUUGUACAUGGGCCUUUGUUGUA
Long non-coding RNA from Pyrus x bretschneideri (Chinese white pear), 1704 nucleotides. RefSeq lists it as uncharacterized. Lineage: Eukaryota; Viridiplantae; Streptophyta; Magnoliopsida; Rosales; Rosaceae. The transcript is spliced from 3 exons. The record is from RefSeq and is a predicted model, not a curated record.